CACCGCCCCAGGGCCCAGCCAGGGAUGGAGCAGGAAGUGAGGCCUCCACCGCCGAGCAGCACCCGGCCCGCCACCCCGAGGCAGUCCCUCCCAGAACCCGACGGGGAUUCGUGACAGGGCUGUGGGGACACAGGCUGACAGAGCUGUCAAUUGCCGCCGAGUCUUCUGGGAAACAUAGUCCUGAGCAAGACCUCAAAGGACUCGCAGCCGUGGAUGCACAGUUCGAAGCGUUGACAAGUACUAAACCCAAUUCUCGAGCUACCGGCCCCAGGAACCUGUUUGUUGCGGAGGGAUCUAAAUGUUGUUCCCCCAGUGUGGGAUCUGCAGAUGCGGAUCUUCUGGCCUCCCACGCCUACCUCUGAGCAGCCUUGUGCCCACAGCGAGGUCUCCUGCCCUCUGGCACAUCGCCCCUCCCCAGCACGGAGCAGCUCAGCCCUUUGGCCUCUGCGGCCUCUCUUCUGCCCACCCUUCCACCCCAUCUCGGCGGCCGGAGCCUGCUGGGUGUUUGCGCGGCGAGGUCCCAGGCCAACUCUAACUGGACAUAAGAAGGGUCCAGCAGAAGCCCUGAGUAGAAAACAGACGUUCCGCAUCCUUCCCUUGGCAUCAAACUCCCAGGACGUCCCCUUCUGUCUGGUUGGUAGCCAGAGGAGGCGGGCGAGGCCCCAAGUAUUCUGGGAAAUGUGCUAUUGGGCUGUAAACUGGGAGCUCCUGGGUCUCCUGUGAGAGCCAGAGGUCACUUUGGGCUGGCCCCUAGCUAAAAAAUAGUAACGCCUUUCCUUAAAGUGAAGAAAAUGUGCCUGUCUACUCUGUUGAUUCAGUGAAAUUUAGAAAAAGAAAAGAACAUUUUGUGAUGGAUUAUAAAACGCUUAGAAUUACCAGCCAUAGGGCUAACGUGGAAGAUACGUUUGAUGUCAAUUCUACCAUUCCUUCAACACACAUAGGGUGCAUUUUCCAAUGGAUAUUUAUUGGGAACUUUCUAUACUCAAGAUCGUUCUGGGAACUGUGGUUACUCGGGAAUCGUAUAUAACCACUGCCUUCAUGAAGCUCACAGCCCAAAAGGGGAGAUAAACCACAAAAGGUAUCAAAAUCCCAAGUAAUAUCUUGUCUUUUCUUUUUUUCCGAAGAACUGGGAGCACAAAAACCAAAUUUUUUUUUUAAGACAGGGUUUCACCAAAAUUGGUCAGGCUGGUCUCGAACUCCUGACCUCAGGUGAUCCACCCGCCUCAGCCUCCCAAAGUGUUGGGAUUACAGGUGUGAGCCACCGCACCCGGCCAAAUGUUUGGGUUUUUAAACCAAUACAUUUUGGGGUAAUUUGUUCCGGAAUAGUUCUGUUCCAGUAUAGCCAGUGGGAUCUUAGUUAUUUGGCUAUAGAACUGUAGUCAUCGGCCUGGCGCGGUGGCUUACGCCUGUAAUCCCAACACUUUGGGAGGCCGAGGCGGGUGGAUCAUGAGGUCAAGAGAUGGAGACCAUCUUGGUCAACAUGGUGAGACCCCCGUCUCUACUAAAAAUACAAAAAAUUAGCUGGGCAUGGUGGCGCGUGCCUGUAAUCCAGCUGCUCCGGAGGCUGAGGCAGGAGAAUUGCCUGAACCCAGGAGGCGGAGGUUGCGGUGAGCCGAGAUCGCGCCAUUGCACUCCAGCCUGGGUAACAAGAGCGAAACUCCGUCUCAAAAAAAAAAAAAAAAAGAACUUUAGUCAUCUGCAAGAUAACCACACAGCAUUUCGAAAAACUCUGUCCACUAUGAACAAAUGUCUGGUUAGCAGAGGUAGUUAGAUGUAGUUAGAUUUAGAUGAAAAUGAGGAAAGUGGAAAUCUCAGAGGAGCUCAGGAAACCUUGGGAUUGCCAGGACUCCCGUGACUGGAACACAGUUCAGGACCUGCAGAACUGAAGGCAUCUUCAGGCCCCUCGCUCUUUAAGGAAACCCACAUUGAGGACCUCUAUGUCUGGAGAACUGGGGAGACGAUCGCAUUACUCGAACUAGAGGCCUGAUGGACUUCUGCAACUCUUCAUGCUACAUAGGCUGGAAGUCUUGGAUGUGACCUCUGACCCUCUUGCUCAGUUCAGCUAUGACAGCCAGUUCUACUCUGCUACAACCACCGAAUGUUGACUCCAGGAUGCUCUGUGGAUCAGUUUCCUUCAGCACUUCAAGAAAGAAGUAGGCUACAAGUUCCAUUAUUUCAGCUUCCCUUCAACCUCUCUGGGGUUCCUAUCAUCACCCUUCCCAUCCCAUGGAUGAUAAUUUCCCUGGCCUACCUUUAACCAUGGAAGGCUGUCAAGAAGUGCAUUUAUAAGGAACUGCACUUGUUCAUAUUGCAAGAGAAACCUGACUACUGUUGUUUAUCUAGGUCAGGGAUUAUUUUUCUCAUAUAUCAAGCAGUCUAGAGAGGCCGGGUGCAGUGGCUCACCUCUGUAAUCCCAGCAAUCUGGGAGGCCAAAGUGGGUGGAUCACUUGAGGCCAGGAGAUCGAGACCAGCCUGGCCAACAUGGCAAAACCCUGUCUGUACUAAAAAUACAAAACAGUUGGCCGUGGCGGUGCAUGCCUAUAAUCCCCGCUACUCAGGAGGCUGAGGCAGGAGAAUCACUUGAACCCAGGAGGCGGAGGUUGUGGUGAGUCAAGAUUACGCCACUGCGCUCUGGUCUGGGUGACAGAGUGAGACUGUGUCUCAGAAACAAACAAAGCAACAACAACAACAAGAAGUGUAGAGAUUGGUAGUAAUGGCUGGUAAAGCAACUCCAGGUACAAGGACCUGGGUAUUCUCUGUCUUCCUGCUCUGCCAAUCUUGGUGGAUGGCUCUCGUCCUCAUGGUCACUUCCAGUUAUCAUGGCUGUAUUCCAGAAUAGAAUAUUGUUCUGCCAUAAAAUGUUAUUGUUACUGAAAUUAUGUCAUAGAGCAUAGACAAAUGAAAGAUGUAACAAAGUGCAUGGCAAAUCACAUGUGAAACAUAAUUCCAUUUGCCUGUGGGGAAUAUCCGUCACUUGUCUACCAGCACACUCUCUUUCUAGGGGAAAAAGCACUUGAUUCUUCUUUACAGAAAUGAACCCCAUGCAUGGUUCAGAUGGGACCUGCCAUCUGCUUCCCUGAUCCUUUCUCUCCAUCACAGGGUCUGGUUUGGAGGUGCACACUCAAUCCAAACCAAGCCGACUGCAGAUCUGUGCUAUCUUGACCAAGAUAAUUUGUCAAAGGGAGCACAGAUGACUCCUGCUGAGCCAAUCAGGGACCUUUCCUGGGACUUCGUAAGCUGGAACCAAAGGAAAAGGAUCUCUUCCCUUCCGGAGGUGAAGACAAGAAGAUGUGAGUGUGUAGACCAUGGCAGCCAUAUUUCCUGCCAGCUGAAUCGCAUUUCCAGAGGGCGAGAGGAAGGCAGAGACAGGGAAGCAGACAGCAGAAGCUGGGAAACUUUUGAGAGCAUUUUGAGUCCUGGGUCACUGAGGCCAGAAAUAACUCUGACUUUUCCUUUUUUAAUUUUUUAAUUUUUUUAUUGCAUCUUAGGUUUGGGGGUACACGUGAAGAAUGUGCAAGAUUGUUGCAUAGGUACACACAUGGCAGUGUGAUUUGCUGCCUUCCUCCCCUUCACCUGUAUCUGGCAUUUCUCCCCAUGCUAUCUCUCCCCAACUCCUUUUUCCUUAAGUUUGUUUUAUGAGUCAAUAAAUAGUCCCUUUGUGCCUAAGAUAGUUUGAGUGGUAAAGCCCAGGCAUUUGCAAUUCAAACAUUUCCCACUAAUGCACCAUCAUUUUUGUUUUAAGAAAAAAAUUUGGCUGGGCACGGUGGCUUACGCCUGUAAUCCCAGCACUUUGGGAGGCCGAGGCGGGCAGAUCACGAGGUCAAGAGAUCGAGACCAUCCUGGCUAACAUGGUGAAACCUCGUCUCUACCCAAAAUACAAAAAUUAGCUGGCCAUGGUGGCACAUGCCUGUAGUCCCAGUUACUCAGGAGGCUAAGUCAGGAGAAUCGCUUGAACCCAGGAGGUGGAGGUUGCAGUGAGCCAAGAUUGUGCCAAUGAACUCCAGUCUGGGUAACAGAGAGAGACUCUGUCUCAAAAAAAAAAAAAAAAAAAAAAAAAAAAAAUCCAUAUAUACAUAUAUGAAUAUAAAUAAAGUACAGGAAUACAUUUUGCUCAUCUGUGUUUUAAAUCUUCCUUAAAGAACACAUUAAUUUUGGGCUGGGCGCGGUGGCUCACGCCUGUAAUCCCAACACUUUGGGAGGCAGAGGCGGGUGGAUCACGAGGUCAAGAGAUCGAGACCG
Non-coding RNA from Callithrix jacchus (white-tufted-ear marmoset), 4239 nucleotides. Lineage: Eukaryota; Metazoa; Chordata; Mammalia; Primates; Cebidae. The record is from RefSeq and is a predicted model, not a curated record.